CUAAAGCUAACUCAUUUCAGGUAGUGCAACGUGAGACACAUCAUUUGGUGCUCCUGACACUGAGGUCUCACAACUGUGAAGGGGUGUCAUGUUCCCUGGUCUACCCAUCACUCAGGACAUCAAAUCCUGGGGCUCUCUUCACAAACAGACCUUGUAGAUUUCCGUGAUUCUGACAACUGUGUUGCAGCAGAUAGCAGCUGGUGGCUUUUCUAAUGCAUUGCAAAGGCAGUUCGGGCUGGUUGUGGAACAGAAAGUGCUGUGUGGGCCGGAUGACUGUUCUAGCCACGCGCUGUGGAGGGUGAGGUGCCUGCUACUCCCAUACUGUCACAUGUUGGUGUCAAGCCUGCAGGGCAGAGGCUAUGGAGCACCUGCCUCUACUGAGGUGGCCUGGCGGCAUCACCUGCUGAGCUGUCUGUACCAAGGCAGCUGAAGCCUACACAGAAACCUCCUUGUGCAACUCUCCACGUGAACCAGUCACUGGAACUGCGGUGCCCUGGGCGAGAGAUUAACGAGAUUUCACCAGAAUUCACUCACAAAAUUCCCUGCAGAUACACUGUGUUUUCCAUUCCACUGACGUGUAUCUUCUGCAGCAACCGCAUCCUGCUGGUUCCACAUGCAUCGUCAGAAGGUGAACCUGUGAGUCACAGCGAUGCUCCAGGCUCCACAUGUGAGCAAUCGUGCAAGCACCGACUCCUAGAGAUGGAAGAGGCCCAAGAGUGCCUGAUGCAAAAGUCCCUCUCCGGCACCCUGUUAGACAGUACUGCAGCGCAUGUUUGAAACGUAGGUUCAGAGCUGUGCCCUUGGAUGUCAUUAUCACUGUUGAUAAUUGUGCCCAGAACAACUCUCGGUGCCAUACACGCACACCGUCUGGAGCUGUGUGCCACAGCUUGUUCCCCUAUCUGAUGUCUGUGACUGAUAUUAUUCUCUAAGCACCAAGAAGACACUCAAGAAGAUGUUUAUGUCUUGAGUUGAAGACGUUUUACCUCUACCAAAGUGUCCCUGGAGAGUGCCCAAAGUCAAGUUUCAAAUUCUCUGUAAGAAUUAUUUUUAUGUCUUAUCUAACUGUAAUGGCCAAGCAGUUCCUCACCAGCGUCUUGAGUGCCUCCUCUGACAGAGAAAACAUUCCUUCUAUCUAUGACACCAUGGGAAAGGCAGCUCUUCCUCAUGUUGAGUCACAUACAGUCGAUUUGCUUGUGGCUUCCCCACAUUGGUCCUGGUCCUGUUCUUCUGGGCUUGCCUUGACUGGGAUCUCAAAAAGUAGAAACACACUGCACUUUCAAGCAUUUUCUCUCUUUCUCUUUUUAAACCUAACGCACAUCUGUGGAUGAGCAGACAUGAAGCCUCCUCCCGCCUUAUGAAUGGAGAAACUGAGGCUCAAAGCCAGUGCCCCACCCAAAUGCCAGGUGCCUCCCAGUUCCUGUGGCUCUCAGCCCUGUGCACUACUCUCACAGCUCAGUUGUGGAUGGGCGGAGGGAAGGAGAGUGAUAUGGUUUCACUAUGCCCCACCCACUAAAUCUCACCUUGAAUUGUAGCUCCUGUAAUCCCCGGGUGUAUGGGGGAAACCUGGUGGGAAGUAAUUGAAUCAUGGGGGUGGGGUUUCCCUGUGCUGUUCUUGUGAUAGUGAAUAAAUCUCAUGAGAUCUGAUGGUUUAAUAAAGAAGAGUCUGCAGAUGCCCUCUUGCCUGCUGCUGUGUAAAAUGUGCCUUUGCUCCUCCUUGCUGUCCUCCAUGAUGGUGAGGCCUCCACAGUCAGGUGCAACUGUGAGUCAAUUAAACCUUUUUCCUUUAUAAGUUA
This is a non-coding RNA of Callithrix jacchus (white-tufted-ear marmoset), 1793 nucleotides long. NCBI's taxonomy places the organism in Eukaryota, Metazoa, Chordata, Mammalia, Primates, Cebidae. The record is from RefSeq and is a predicted model, not a curated record.